UCCCUGAUGGCUAAUUUGGUAAAGAAUCUACCUGCAAUGUAGGAGACCCAGGUUUGAUCUCUGGGUGGGGAA
RNAcentral lists this transfer RNA (72 nucleotides) under Bos taurus (domestic cattle). It matches the Rfam family "tRNA". From Rfam's summary of the family: Transfer RNA (tRNA) molecules are approximately 80 nucleotides in length. Their secondary structure includes four short double-helical elements and three loops (D, anti-codon, and T loops). Further hydrogen bonds mediate the characteristic L-shaped molecular structure. tRNAs have two regions of fundamental functional importance: the anti-codon, which is responsible for specific mRNA codon recognition, and the 3' end, to which the tRNAs corresponding amino acid is attached (by aminoacyl-tRNA synthetases). tRNAs cope with the degeneracy of the genetic code in two manners: having more than one tRNA (with a specific anti-codon) for a particular amino acid; and 'wobble' base-pairing, i.e. permitting non-standard base-pairing at the 3rd anti-codon position. RNAcentral also lists the same sequence under 5 other names. Lineage: Eukaryota; Metazoa; Chordata; Mammalia; Artiodactyla; Bovidae. The record is from Rfam by way of RNAcentral.